AUAUAGUAUUAAUAUGAAAGUUAUUAUAGCUCCCUUCUUUCAUUACAAUCUCUUAGUUUUCGUAGUUUGGGUUAGAAGGAAAUGAAAUUGUGGAAAGAAGAUGAACCUGAUAAGUGGAAAAUAUUGUUGGCUGAAGGCACUUGAUGUCAAAUGUUGGGAUAACAACAUUAGUAAGGGUCUGGUGUAAUUGUGUUUCUCCUAGUUUUUCUUUAACAAGGUUAUGCAGAUACUUCCCAUCAUAUUUUGGUCCUGAUAAGGAUGUAACUGCCUUCGUGACAUAAGGAAUUGGAACAUAACUGCAUUUAAAAGAAAGAUCAUGUUAACAACUACAAAAAAUAUUGAAGUCUAGUUAAUUGUAUAUACACAAAUACUAGCAUCCUGUCAUCUUAAUCAAGAUUUUCAUCAUGAUAUAUUUGUUACCUGUGCUGUGGGAAGAUCAUAGGGCAGUGCUCAAGGUAGAAGUCCUUGAUAUCUUUGGCGGAAAACAAGGGUCGGCCAGUGUUUUCAUUGGGAGUGGUUAGCAUGGCAGUCACGAGGCCACCGGUGCUUGUUCCUGCAAUCACAUCAAAAUAAUCUGAAAUUCUUGCGUCUUCACCAUCCAGCUUCUGCACCAUGGCCAAACAAUCUAGUGUUAGUACUUAUAAAAUAUAUCGAAUAUAGGAUAUAUAAGUUCGAGAUUAGGUAUAUAUUAAUUUUAAAAGGCAAAUGGAAAGGCCAUAUUUUGUUAUUAUCAUGUAAAACCUUAUAUUUCCUACCUGAAGCUCAGACUCGAGGAAGCCAAGGACUGUUCCUGGGAUAAGCCCUCUUAUUCCACCUCCAUCGAUGCUGAGAAUGGUGAUUAGGUUUCCAUAAGUUGGAGGCUGUAGGGGUGAUUUUGGUUCUUCUUCCAUUAGCAAUCGAGGGAUGAAGGUAUGAACUUGAGUCAUGGAGGAGAGAAAAAGGGAGAUUUGCUAUUUCAAGAGACUUAGAAUAGAAUUGAAGUUUCUGCAGGAGACUUAGAAAUAUACUGAGACUUUUGAGUCCUCUUUGAUAACUAGGCAGGUGUAUUUAUAGACUCCUUAAUUAGCGUAUAUCCCUGAUUUUCUUGCUCAUACUUUUCUAAAUGGACCUGGUUCAAGUUGGACCCGGAUUCAUCAUUCAGGAUAAGUUGAAAAGUCCACAAGCAAAUCUUCUUGUCUUAUAGAAGCUAGCCAAAUGGUCACAUUGGCAUGACUCCUGGCAACUGUAGGUAAGACCAAAGAGAAUAGCUGGUAAGAAGGAUUAGGUGACUCAAUAAAGGUUGAGAUAGGAUGAAUUUUCCUAACUAAUGGAGUUUGUGAACAGGUCAUGGAAACACUAAGUCUUAUGAAAUGAUUCUGGUUUCUAGCUAUGUCUGGUGCAAAGAAUCGUGAUGGAGACAAGCCUAAAUGCGCAUACCAAACAAAAAUUUAUUAUUCAAUGCACACAAAUUUGUGUUCGUAAAUGGAUGCGCUUGACUGGGGAUGGCGAUGAUUUUGAAAGAACACCAACUAGGGCAACGAAAAGUACUGGCCAACGCGGCACUUGCACCAUGAAUGACAAGGAACGAAUAAUUCAAUGUCAAGCAGCAAGGUUUUACAUAAUUUCCUGUUAGACAUGAUUUUUUUGACCUAUUAACCUCAUGCUUUUCAUACUUAAUAUCUGUAAAAUUGUACACACGAUCAUUGGCUUCUAUAGUUUGUAGAAAACUACAUGGUUAUUCAAUAUUUUUUGUAAUUACAGUUCUAAGUCCUGUGAAUUUUAGAUGAUGUGCAGUGCGAAGACUUGGUUGACUGUUAGUUACUGAGGUUUUCCCACAUCUCCCAAAUGUUAAAAUGAUGAAAUUAUUGCCUAAGAAGCACCUGUUGCAGAAUCAUAUUUGAACGUAAGGUAGCAAAUUAUAGCUAACUAAAAAUAGGUUAUAUUAUAUUAAACUAUCAGAAGUUUUCAGUGCUUUCAUCUUUAUCAAUCUGUGUUGGGCGCUUAUUUAAUUAGCAAGGUUGGAAGUAUGAAGGGUGACAGCAUCAUUAAUGGACUUCACUUAACGUCGACCUAAUGGUGGUUAAUUGGUAUUUAAAAAUUAACUUCACAUCCAUCAAGGAAAAAAUCAUGUUUGUUUAUCAUGAUUAGGCAAAGAUGCAACGCAGCCGGGAAGUGAAAAAACGAAAGGACUGGUCAACUAAGGAAAUCUGUUGGUUGCCCUAGUGAAUUUGUGAACCAUUCACUGGAAACUUCAAAUUUCGAACACAGCAUGGCCUAUUUACUUUCAUGUUGAGCUCAGUCUAGAACAAAAAUAAUACUAUUACAGCAUUAUUAGAACAGCUCUAAAGAGUUGGGAAUUGAUGCUGGAAAUACUUUGUUCCUCAUGGUCUUUGCAUGUUAAUCUUAGCUGCUGGGCUUAGCAGGGCAUUACUAUUCAGAAAUUCUGAGAACUCCAUGCCCGCCCGUAUUUCAAAUCCCAAAUUUGACCCAAACCCUAACUUAAUUGAAAGCAGUUUAGAUUUGAUCUUUUCAAUCAGUGCCCUUGAGUCCUUGACCAUUCCACCCUUCCAAAGCCAUCCCUUCGUUUCUAUUUCAUGGAAGCUAGCUAUCUAUGCUGUAACGCCAUCAAUCCAUUCCUGACUCUUUGUGAUGCUUUAUAACCCCCGAAGGAAGAAGAGCAAAUCAGCCAAUAGAAGGUAGAUUCAAUUGGAGUUAGGGUUCUCUUACUUUAACUUAUUGAAUCCCUAGACCUAGCUAAUUAACCAGGAGCACCUUCCACCAGCAGUUUAUGUCCAUUUAUAAAUACAAUCCUAGUCAGUUCUACAUUGCCACGACCUUAACCCCUGCCUUGAACACCGGACCUUGCUGUCUGGGAACGCUGGGCAGUAAUGGUUAAUAGAGUCCCAGGGAAACCACAGAAAAAUAAGACAUUCAUAGAUUUUUACCUACAUUCAUUGACUCUUGUAUUAACAUUUUUGGCUCAUACUCUCGUGUAACAUUUGAGGAAAAAAGUGUAAAAGGAAAUUAAUAGAAGAAAAGAAAAUAUGAAUAAAAAUAAAUAAAAAAUAAAAAAUUAAUAAAUUAUUUUUAAAUGUUUCUUUAAAAUUUUAACUAAUUUUAAAUAUAUUUAAUUUUUUAAUUAUAAUUUCAAAUAAAAAAUUAUUUAGGUAAAGACAAAUAAGGUAAAGGCUAUGCAUGGGUCCAACAAAUUGAUUAAGUGCCUCAAGGAAUAAAGGCCAUUGUUUGAAAGUAAACUUGAAUUUGGAAAGUUUCCAAAAGUUAGAACAUGAUUUGAUUUCUAAAAGAUAGAAUACUUUUAAUGCAAAUCUUGCAUUGCAUUUUAUAUUUGUCAAUGGUCUUCAUCUUUUAGAUUAAGAGGAAAUGGAAUUCAUGAUUUCGGCACCCAGUUUCUUUGGAGCUUUCUCUCUUAAAAUUCCUCUCUUCCCUUCAAAUUAUUUUCUUUCCAGUUCCCAUGGUUGGAACAAUUGCUAGUACUUGGCCGGGGAUGACAUGUCAUUUCGAUGGUGGUGGUGUUUUGGUGAGUUGUUUGUCACAAGUUAAGGCUGGUGGAUGUAGAUGGGUAGUGUCGGCCCCUUAACCUUUUGACCCAAUAAAGAAGGAAAGGGCCUCAUGAGAAGGCCUUGCACCCAUGGGAGCCUAGACGGGGAGAGCAAGGAUAGCUUGGAGGUUUGGUGGUUCAAACCCCAAGAGUUGAAAUGAGGAGACCAUGUGUGGGCCAGACAAGCAUCUGGCACGCGCGCGCACUGCGUGCGCAUCAGGUAGGCUUCUCGUGCACACUUAGCGCCUACUAGGCAUAUGUGGGCUAUGGAGUUGGUGUAGAUGGAGGCUGAGGUUUAUUUUGAAAUAUAAUUUAUAAUUAUUUAAAUAUUCCAUUAUGUCUCCUUAAGCAGGUAUGAUGUCUUUUCCAAACAUCUUGAGAAUGAUUCGUAUUGCUCUUUAAAGGGGGGGAGGGUAGGUGACUUAAGGAGGCACCAUGGCACGACCUUGGGCAUGCCUAGGGCACACGGACGACACUCAAGCACGCAUACAUGGGCUCCAUGACAUGUGUGGCGUGCACCCUGUGGCUGCAACAGCAUGGGGCUUGGUGCGGCCUACCUUCUCCCUAUGCUGGCACGAGGGCGCCUAAGCCUUGUGCAGUGAGCCAGUUGGAGAAGCCAUGGGUGCAAUGCCAUGGUUUGAUGGAGCACUAGACGUGUAGCUGACUCGAACCCAUGAUGCCAAUGCAUGACACCAGGGCGCAAUGCCCUGUGCUCCAGGAAGAAACAACCAUGGGUGCAAUUCCAUGACUCGUUGUUGUGGAGCCUUGACCUGACAGAGGGAGCUAGACACAUGACUAGGCCAUGAGCACCUUAACAUGGCAUGGGCUCACACAUCAGUGUAGGGAGGACACACUGAUGCACCAGUAGGCUCACGCAAGCAGUUAUGGCGGUUGUGGCAGUUGCAUAACCACCAGUAGGCUCAUUGGUUUUGAAUUUCAAAUUGUAAUUGUAGGGUGGGUCAUUUAAAAAGGCCCUUGCCUUUUUGAGACAUAGGAUGGGAUGUUGUCUUUGAAUGCUUAGGAGAUUAAGCAUUGUACUUUGACUCAGGCAAAGUGUUGAGACACUUUGGAAAGAAAAUUUUGUAUCUUGUAGAGUUGAAUAAUACAAGUUGGGAAGGGUGUUCCCGUAAUUGUGUGGCUUGUUACAUUGUUUUUCUAAGGGUUGGAAAGAAAGGUUAGUUAAGGAAGGGUCCUUAGCACUGCACACUCAGUGAAAAAAAUUGGGCAGAUAAUCAGGGGUGUGAAAGGUAGUGUAGUUGGGUUGGUGUGGCAUUAUUUUGUUGUAGGUGGGGAUUGAAAUGCUUGAAUUUUGAUUCAAGCUCUCUCUCAUGUCUUUAUUCUUGGAAUUUUAGUGCCUGUUUCUUCUACUGUAAUGUGUUUAUAUCAUUUGUUAAUCUGAGAAUACUAUUAUGUGAUUCAUGAAAAUUUUGGAAUGAGGUAGUGCACAAUCUAUUUUAUAUCUAUGAAGUGUGGAUUUCACCAUUAGCUAGAUACAAGCAAUGGAGAGGAGGGUUGAACUUAAGACCUCCAAUCAAACCGAGCUUUGAUAACAUCUUGAAUUACCAAUUUUCCAAAAGGUUUAAACAUAUAGUAUUUGGGUUCAAUGUACAUAUCAGAUGAUGGUCAUUCUUUUGUAAUAGGAUGCAUAUUAGGUCUCAUAACCAUUAUUUCACUAAGAGGGUAUCUUAAGUUGACUUUAGGUUAAAUUAUUCUUAAAUUGUUAACUUAAAAACUUAUUACUUAUUUUUUAUUUUAAAUAUUAAGGUUGUUUGGUAAAGCUAACUUAAAAUCUAUUCUAAAUUAUCAAAUUAACAUAUUUAUAUCAUUAAUUUUGAUUAAUAUUUAAAUGUGAAUUAAUUUUAAAUAAUAAAUUGAUUUAUUAAAUAAUUAUAUUUGAAGUAUUAUAAAUAUAUAAGAUAAGUCUAAAAAUAUUAACUAUAAAAUAUGAGUUAAAUGUAAAGUCAUGAUUAUAAAAUAUACUCCCACCAAACAUGAAUAAAUGAGGUAAAAAAAUAUUUUACAUUAAAAAUAAAUUAAUUAUUUUAACUUAGUACUUAAAGUUAUUAAGUUUGACUUUAAAUUAUGAUAUUAAAUUAUUUUACUAAAUAUGUUUGAUCUACUUAAUAAUUUAAAUUAAAUCAUUAAGUUAUAUUAAGUUAUUAAGUUGAUUAACUAAACAUCACUACUACAAAAAUAAUUUAUGGUGUUACUUUUAAAAUAAUGACACCAUAUGAUUUAAAAUCCAUAAAGGUGACACAUCAUAUAAAAAUUUUCAAUUAAGAUAGAUGAUAUUAAUUUUAAGUUUAUAGUGUUAGUUUUCGAAAAGUGACACCAUAUAAAAUAAAUUUUUUAAAAUACUAUAACUUAAUGGGCCUACUUUGAGAAUAAUAAUAGUAUAAAAAAAACUCAUUGUUUCCACAUAUUCACAAUCCAAAAAAUUCUCAUUCCAUAACCCUAACCAUAAUUUUCUUCUACCUCUUCUCACACCCAUAGUUAACACACAAUUGCUUUUCUCUACUUCGUGGACUCUUAGGUAACCCAAAAUCUCUUAGAUCUAUCAUUUUCAUUUUUUUUAUUAAUGUCAAAAUCUUUAUUAGCAUAUGAAUUGAUUUAUAUUCAUUGAAAAUCUCAUUCCAUAACCCUAACCAUAAUUUUCUUCUCCCUCUUCUCACACCCGUACUUAACACACAAUUGCUCUUCUCUACUUCGUGGAAUCUAAGGUAAACCAAAAUCUCUUAGAUCUAUCAUUUUUUUUUAUUAAUGUCAAAAUCUUUAUUAGAAUAAUUGAUUUAUAUUCAUUGAUUUGGUAUAUCUGUAAUGUGGAUUGUGUAAAUAAUGUUUUUUUAUUAAGUUGUAGGAAAGUAAAAAUUAGGUUGAACAUUCCACCAUAUUUUUUGUUUCAUUGUUAAACCCAUAAACCCCAAAAUGAAUGAAAAUAAGAUAAAUAAAUGAUUUUUUAAUAUCUUUCAUACUCAAAAUGAGGGAUAAACAUUUUACGGUAUGAAAUUUUCUUUUGAUCUUACAAGAAAUUUCUUUUGAUGAGACUUUCUGUUUAUUUUCUAGGAAUAUUAUAGUAUAUUGUAAUGAAAAUAUGUAUUGGUGAUAUUUGAAAAAUAAUUUUUUAGAAAGUUAUUCUUAAUAUUGUCAUCUCCCUUAUAAGGAAAAAUGAAAUAGUUUCCAUAUCAUGUUAGAGUUGGUUUGGAAUGUUGGAAUUAACAAUGAAAAAUUAAUUUUCUUUUUUAUUUAUUAAUGUAAAUGAUUUAUUUAUUUAUUUUUAAAUUUAAAUAGGAAUGAAAGUUUUCAUAAUUAUUAAAAUGAUCAAAUCUUAUAUUUUGAUUUUUUUUUAUAUUCUUUUACAUGGUAUUAUGGUUAAUAUCUCAUCUUGUUCUAUUCAUAUUUUUUCUGUUGUGAUGAAGAUAUUGGUUGGUCAUAUUUGAAAAAUAAUUUUUGAGAAAAUUAUUUUCAAUAUUGUCAUCUCCCGCAAAAGGAUUAUAAAAAUAUGUUUUAUUUUUGCUUUCUUUUCUUAUUGUUUUUAUAUGCAUUGACCAAGCUUUGGUGUAAUUUGAAAUUGAUGAUAAAAUUUUCCUUUCAAGGUUAGGAAAUUUCUAUAAAAUCCUUUUAUUACAAACUUUUUUCCAAUUCCUUCCAUAAAACUCUUAUUUUUCUUCAUUUUUCUUUUUUCUGAAAAAGAUGUUUGAUAAUUUAUUUAUCUAAAGAAUAUUAAAAGUAAAAAAUUUAAAAUAUUGAAUAUAUUUUCCUUUGAUGUUUAAAAUUUUUAAUUUUAUUUUUAUUUGAACAUAUUUUUCAUAUCCAAUUUUUUAUUAAUUAUUUUAAUUGAAAAAAAGAAAUAUCAUUUGGAGUUAUGACUGAAAAAUCAAUAAUUUUUAUGAAAGUUCUUUAAUUCUUUCUCAUACUAUUUUUUCUCUUAACACUUUUUAAUAAUGAAUUAGGUUUUUUGUCUUAUAUACACAAUUUUCAUACUUGUUAUAAUAUCAUGUCCUAUCAUAUUAGUAGUUGAAAACAUUUUUAUAUUUUGUUACUAAAAUUUUAUUUUAUAUAAUUGAGAUGAAAUUUAAUGUACAUUGUUAUUUCACAAAAUGAACAUUUAAAAAUAUUGAAAUUAAGAAAAUCCUUUCAAGAAAUAAUAUAUAUAUAGAAUUAAAUGUUAAAAAUGAUUUUUAAAAGCAUAAUGAAUUAUAAAAAUAAAUUUAAAAAGUGCAGAUUUUAAGUAGAAGAUUAGUAUUUUCUAAAAUUUUAGAUUUAUAUUUUGAUUUUAUAGUUUUGAUUUAUUUUUUAUUUCAUGGAAUUGUUUUUAUUUGAGUUCAAAUGUGACUACUUUGUUAUGAGAUUCAUUAAAGAAAUAAUUGUUGAUUCUACAGUUAUUGCAUUAAAGGUUUUACUCAUUUAAUGAAUUGUAUAUAGUUUCAUUCUUCCAAUUAUUGUGGUAUUAAUGUUAUUGUCAUUUGAUUUCAGUUUGAUGAUUAAAAAAAAAAAAACAUAUUCUUAAGUAGAAUUUGAUGAAAUUAGAGGACAAUUGACUAUUUUUGUGUUAUAACUAAUCAUGAAUCAUGUUGCUAUAUCGUGAUCAUGCAUGGUGAGUCCCUUAGUUGUUAUAUGAAUUUUCCAUUGGUAUCGUAUAACAUUACUUAUUUUUUACGAACUAUUUUUAUAUUAAAAUGGGAAAAAGAAAAAAAAAACAUUAGUUCUUAAAUUUGUUUAUUUUUUAUAACAUUAAUUAAAUUUUAUUUUCACUAAGAACUCUAAAACUCAUUAAACUAUGAAAUGCAGGCACUAACAGAAAGAGCUUGAGGCACCAAGAAAGAUGGCCUUGAGCAAGAAAAGGAUGAGAAAAAGGACACAAUGCUUGAGUUGUCUUCCUCUUGUGUUGGAAUAUUGCAUUGUCCAUAAUCUAUUUAUAGGCUAAUCGAGCAGCAAGGCAAGUGCUAUAGAAUGCUGUUACUGAUGAGAAUUUGAAAAUCAAGAAAAUUCGGCGAACAUGAGAUGGUCAUGGAGUGCAUGCAUGGUCUUCUUUGACAUUGUCCAUGGUCCAGAUUACAUUUCUGUGAUCACACUUUCCUAUAUUUUUUGAAGACACAGAAUUUUCUCGCGUGAAGACUUUAUGAUUGACGAGUAGGUAAUGUGAUAUGCUGAUGAAGUCAGCUUCUAGCACAGAGCCCCAUUAAUGGGAUAUUGUUGAAUUGGAGAAUGUUUCCACACGCUCAAAAUGGGGCGUUGUUUUAGCAUCAAGAAAUUGUCAUCUUCAUUGGCUUGUUGGAAUAGUGAUGUAUGACUGAUGACUUGUUAGGAUUUAUCUGAAAAUAAAGUCCAAGCUUGCUGCUUCUUCUAGGGUAGCACACCAUAUAAAGCUCUCUCUCCCUCUUUCUCUCUCUCUCUUAUAAAGACAGUGAUGAUGGUCCAAAGAAGAAUUCCCAAGCAGGCAGAGAUGCACAACUGCAAGUAAUUACACACAGAAUGAAGGCGUCUGGCCAGAUUUAACAUGAGAAAAUCAUGAUUAAUACAUGAUUCUUCACCAAUAAUUGAGUUGAAUGAGUCUACUAUUCAAAUCACAUUGUUAAAAAAAAAAACAGAUAAUAAAGAUUCAAAUCACAUUAUUAAUGAGUGGGCCGGUCUCAUUUAAGAACACGAUUUGACAUGCAAAAUUAAUGGAUCCAUCCAUAUACAACAUCUACCACAACUCAUUUAAGAACAAAUUCUGGUUAUUCUAAUAAUUCACCAUUUUUCUUCAUGGAAUCAGUUUUGAAAUAGUCCCAAUUUAGUACUAUUAAGAGAGAGUAUCAAGGAAAAUAUUUGGUAGGUGGGCGGUGAAUCAAGUUAAUUAGAUGGUGAAGAAAAACUAAUGAGAGAUGAACUUAAUCAACAAGGUGUACCUCUUUUUUCUGUUGUUAAUCCAACUGUGUUAGACAUUGCUGCUACUUAUAAUUGCCGAACAAAAGGUAAUAACUCUUGCUUGAAAUCAAAUUAAUUCCUGAUACCUUUAUUUUUUAUAUGUACACAAAAUGGCCUUCAUCAUAAGUGUUCUGCAAACGAACUGCGUGCUCCUUGAAUGUGGAGAUAUGGCUGCUCCCACGAAGUUUCCAUACCACAUUUUGAAGUAUAGCUAGUUCUCGUUCUGAUAUUAAUCCACACUAAUGCUGGCAGCUUCCAACACUGGUAUAAUACCAUGUUUUCCAUCUUUUUUUUCCCCCUGUAUGUACACAUAUUAUAAAGUCCAUAGGCUGCACACUCUUCACUAUUUUAAACGUAGAGAACCUUGUUAAAUAGUUAAUAACCAAAGAAAGAUAAAUUAAUGAACAUGCAAAUGACGUUGAUAUCUUCUAUAUAUAUAAUUAGUACUACUAGCAGUCUGCUUUGUCGUGCUGUUGCAUCCUCCUAUUCUUGUAUUUGUGUACAAGGGACAAAUCAAACCAUGAGGAUUACAUGACAACACGGCACCAUGGUCAUCACAAAUGUUGUUCAUUUGCUCUUGAAACAUAUGGUGCGGGAACCAGGACAAAUCGACUAAUCAUUACAUGCACGGCAUUAUAAUAUUGGUGAUGACAUAAUAUAUGCUAAAUAGGGUGUAAUAAAUAAAUAAAUAAAAUUAGAGAAAAAGUGUACGUAAGGGAAACAAAAAAGAAAAAAAAGAAAAAAAGAAAAUUAAAAACAUGAUGAAGAUGACAAGAGGGUAAAAGAGAUUUUUCACCAAACAUUUGAUUAUUAACUAUAGAAAUGAGUUUGGUUUACAUAUUCCUUACAAGUUAUUUUACUUUAUUAUUAAUUGAAAACGAUGUUGUAUUACUUGGCAAACAAAGAUGGUGGUAAGUUUAGAAUAAUGCAAUAUAUGAUUUGCAUGCUUUAUUCCUUGGUAAUAUUAUGAUUUUUUACUACAAUAUUCUUUAAUUGACUUGGGCAGUGUCGGGUCCAGAAAGGCUGCAUCAGUGCCUAGUGAUUCUCAUUCAGAUGUAUAUCUGGACCAUUAGGGAACCAAGAUAAUAUUUUUGUGUUUGUGUCGCUGUUGUCCUUUAAAAUUAUUUAUCCUUGCAUCUAAAUUAAUAAUUUGUUUUCUCAUACUUGUAGUUUUUGAAAUAAAGUUAAUUCAGGUAGACCAGUUUUUAAUCAGACCUCAAUGCAACAUAUCUUCCCAUCCUACCCAAGAGAAGCUACUGAAAGCUCCCAUGACUGAAGAGAGACAACAAGGAUUCUAUCCUUCUGGAUCGACCUAGCACUCUCUUUUAGAUUCUAUCCAUCUAUUUGUUCUCAUCUUAUUUCUGGGAAGUUCUGUGUGGACAACAAGGAUUCUAUCCUUCUGGAUCGACCUAGCACUCUCUUUUAGAUUCUAUCCAUCUAUUUGUUCUCAUCUUAUUUCUGGGAAGUUCUGUGUUACCCUAAUUAUCAUAUAUAUAUAUAUAUAUAUAUAUAUAUAUAUAUAUGUUUCAACCCAUCUCAGUGUCUCUUGAGUUACAAGCUAGCUAGAGACAGACAAAGGAAAAGGUCAUUGAUAGUUCUUGUAGAUUUGUAAAGGAUAAGUAUUAUUUAUCCUUACAUCUAAAUAAUUUGUUUUCUCAUGCUUGUAGUUUUUGAGAUAAAGUUAAUUCAGGUAGACCGAUUUUUAAUCAGGCCUCAAUGCAACGUAUCUUCCCAUCCUACCCAAGAGAAGCUACUGAAAGCUAGCUCCCAUGACUGCAGAGAGACAACAAGGAUUCUAUCCUUCUGGAUCGACCUAUAACAUAAUGUGUUUAUGCUGUGUUUAGGUUAUAUAUAUAUGUAAAAAUAACUUUUUUGUUUUAUGUUUUGAGUGGUUGUCAUUAGUCUACGUGGAGAUAUUUAGUCAAGUUAAAUAUCUUUGCAUCUGGUUUGAAAUCUAGUGACUGUACAACAAAAACUGCAGAACCGAGAAUGCAAAGUGAAAAAAAGAAAAAGGGUCCUUUGUUUUUUGGUGGACUGUUUUAACUCCUCUGUUCCCAGGUCUGUUCCCAGGUGUUACUCUUCCAUUUUUUCUUUGUUUAGCCAUUCUCUGUUUCAGGCUGAAACUACAGCCAACAUGACCUAGCACUCUCUUUUAGAUUCUAUCCAUCUAUUCGUUCUCAUCUUAUUUCUGGGAAGUUCUGUGUUACCCUAAUUAUCAUGUAUCUUAAAAAUAUAUCCAUCUAUAUAUGUAUAUACAUAUAUAUAUAUUAUAUGUUUCAACCCAUCUCAGUGUCACUUGAGUUACAAGCUAGCUAGAGACAGACAAAGGAAAAGGUCGUGAUAGUUCUUGUAGAUUUAUAAAGGAUAAGUAUUAUUUCCAGUCCAUUCUAAUUAAUUGCCAUUCCCAUAAUGUAGGUUGAUACAAAAUUAGAACUUAUUCAAGAAAAUAAUGGAAAUAAUUCAAUCUUGUCAGUAAAAUGUUCUGAGAAAUAGAGGUCGCACUAAAUCACAAUAAUUUUGACUUGCACAGUCCUAUCAGAACCAUAGAAGAAAUUAAGUGGAAUCUAUGGACUUACAAUACCUUAAUACUAGAAACGAUUAAAUUGGUUAUUAAAAUAUCCCAUUUGGGAUUUAUUUUUACAAUAAGAAUAGUGAAUUAAAAGGCAGACAAUCAGAAACGGGACUACAACUUAACUAGAAAUUCAUUACAACAGAAGGAAUCAUUCAUAUCAGACAACGACCAAUCCUUUAGAAGCGGCAGCAUGUCCAUGUGGUGACCUAGUAUCUCUACGUUGCUUCUCUUGGGAGAGUAGUCUUGUAAAACUGAAAAAUUAGAAGGAUUUUUUAUUAUUAUAUGAUUAGUUAAUUAACUAAGAAAACUCUAGAAUAAAACUCUAAAAAUAGUUAGAUACCUUGUGAGAGCCUCCUCAUUGGUCUCGUGAUUUGAAGGCUCAAAGAUACCUGUAUCCAGGUUAACCCUUGAGACCCUUUUCUUUAACAACUCCUCACCAAUUUUCACAAGAUCAUCCAAAUUUUCCUUUGUGGCUAUGUCGACUGAUGAUGUUAUUCCACUCAAUGUAUCAUCCUGUAUUUACCCUUUGUGUCAGUAUCAGUGGUAGACAAGGAACAGAAGAAGCAAUUGACUUUCAGAUAUUUUUAGGACUGAGGAAAUUAUGAAGAAGAACAAAAUUUAAAUAAGAAAUUUGACUUUGUAAGUGACUGUAAUUUAUGAAACCACAAGCAGCAAAGCUGUACCUGUAUCCGAAGAUAGCUUUUUUCAGAGUGAAGGGCUUGAAAAGCCUCUGAAAGGUGUAAGUCGACCAUAUCUGCGCUUGCUUGGGUAAACACUUGCACUAAGGGGGUGGAACCACCACUGGUCAACCAUCCCAACAGACCCCACUUGGCUGCUUCAUCAGCAUUGUAUUUUUCUUCGGCUUUUGAUGACCCAGUUCCCAAGGAUAUUACUAGAAACCGGCCAUAGUCCAUUGGCUUUAUAGGAAAGAAAUCAGGACUACCCCGGAUGAUCUCCUUGGUCACUUCCCCAAUAGCAACCAAAGUCUGAAACAAGAAUCAAUAGUUAAUUGAAUUGUGAAAAGAAAAAUAAAACUGGGAAGUCUAAGAUGCAACUUCAAAGUUAAUGAGUACCGGAUUAUUUGCAGCUACACCACCAUCAAUGAGGUUGAAUUCUCUAACUCUCCCGGCAGGGUCUUUGGUUUCGAAAUAAUGAGCUGGAAGAUAAGUGGGUGCUGCUGAGGUUCCAAUACAUAUAUCUGAUAGUAAGGCAUCUAAACAUGGUCUGCUCUUCACCUAGAGCAUGGAAAUCAAGCAUAUAGUAUUAAUACGAAAGUUAUUAUAGCUCCCUUCAUUCAUUACAAGCUCUUAAUUUUCAUAGUUUGGAUUAGAAGGAAAUGAAAUUGUGGAAAGAAGAUGAACCUGAUAAGUCGAAAAUAUUGUUGGCUGAAGGCGCUUGAUGUCAAAUGUUGGGAUAACAACAUUAGUAAGGGUCUGGUGUAAUCGUGUUUCUCCUAG
Molecule: long non-coding RNA, 13474 nt
Filed under: Vitis vinifera (wine grape)
Lineage: Eukaryota; Viridiplantae; Streptophyta; Magnoliopsida; Vitales; Vitaceae
Description: long non-coding RNA (VVIN_LNC006027)
Source: RNAcentral